GGUGAACGCUGGCGGCGUGCCUAAGACAUGCAAGUCGAGCGGGGCAGGUUUAUACCUGUUCAGCGGCGGACGGGUGAGUAACGCGUGGGUGACCUACCCGGAAGAGGCGGACAACCUGGGGAAACCCAGGCUAAUCCGCCAUGUGGUCCUAUCCUGUGGGGUAGGACUAAAGGGGCGACCCGCUUCCGGAUGGGCCCGCGUCCCAUCAGCUAGUUGGUGGGGUAAAGGCCCACCAAGGCGACGACGGGUAGCCGGUCUGAGAGGAUGGCCGGCCACAGGGGCACUGAGACACGGGUCCCACUCCUACGGGAGGCAGCAGUUAGGGAUCUUCCGCAAUGGACGGAAGUCUGACGGAGCGACGCCGCUUGGAGGAGGAAGCCCUUCGGGGUGUAAACUCCUGAACUGGGGACGAAAGCCCUGUGUAGGGGGAUGACGGUACCCAGGUAAUAGCGCCGGCCAACUCCGUG
Molecule: ribosomal RNA, 467 nt
Filed under: uncultured bacterium
Lineage: Bacteria
Description: partial 16S ribosomal RNA
Rfam family: Bacterial small subunit ribosomal RNA
Source: RNAcentral